Long non-coding RNA from Rhipicephalus microplus (southern cattle tick), 260 nucleotides. Lineage: Eukaryota; Metazoa; Arthropoda; Arachnida; Ixodida; Ixodidae. The record is from RefSeq and is a predicted model, not a curated record.
GGGCUGGAUCCACAUUCUACUGCGCCCUUUCCAAGCUCAAGAUCACGCCACGAGAGUAUCUGAGGUCUUACAAGGAUUGCCACAAGGACUACAAAAUCCUCAUCGGUUCGGAGCACGGAGACUGAUCAGACUGCCAAAAGCUACUGAGAGGCAUACUCGGCAAAAACUUCUGUGAAUGGUGAAACUCCCGCAUAAUGAAACACGUUAGCGUGGUUGUACAUACUGAAGAAAAUAAACGCGCACGAGAUCCUUGUGAAAAA